GAGUUUGAUCCUGGCUCAGGAUGAACGCUAGCGGCAGGCCUAACACAUGCAAGUCGAGGGGUAACAUAAAGUGCUUGCACUUUGAUGACGACCGGCGCACGGGUGAGUAACGCGUAUACAAUCUGCCUCAUACUAGGGGAUAGCCCAGAGAAAUUUGGAUUAAUACCCUAUAGUAUCAUUUAGAGUCAUCUCUUUAUGAUUAAAGGUUACGGUUUGAGAUGAGUAUGCGUUCUAUUAGUUAGUAGGUGAGGUAACGGCUCACCUAGACCACGAUAGAUAGGGGCCCUGAGAGGGGGAUCCCCCACACUGGUACUGAGACACGGACCAGACUCCUACGGGAGGCAGCAGUGAGGAAUAUUAGACAAUGGGCGAAAGCCUGAUCUAGCCAUGCCGCGUGCAGGAUGACGGCCCUAUGGGUUGUAAACUGCUUUUAUACAGGAAGAAAAAACUCUACGUGUAGAGUCUUGACGGUACUGUAAGAAUAAGGAUCGGCUAACUCCGUGCCAGCAGCCGCGGUAAUACGGAGGAUCCAAGCGUUAUCCGGAAUUAUUGGGUUUAAAGGGUCCGUAGGUGGACAAUUAAGUCAGAGGUGAAAUCCUGCAGCUCAACUGUAGAAUUGCCUUUGAAACUGGUUGUCUUGAGUCAUUAUGAAGUGGUUAGAAUGUGUAGUGUAGCGGUGAAAUGCGUAGAUAUUACACAGAAUACCAAUUGCGAAGGCAGAUCACUAAUAAUGUACUGACACUGAUGGACGAAAGCGUGGGUAGCGAACAGGAUUAGAUACCCUGGUAGUCCACGCCGUAAACGAUGGUCACUAGCUGUUCGGACUUCGGUCUGAGAGGCUAAGCGAAAGUGAUAAGUGACCCACCUGGGGAGUACGUUCGCAAGAAUGAAACUCAAAGGAAUUGACGGGGGCCCGCACAAGCGGUGGAGCAUGUGGUUUAAUUCGAUGAUACGCGAGGAACCUUACCAGGGCUUAAAUGUAGAGUGACAGGUCUAGAGAUAGAUUUUUCUUCGGACACUUUACAAGGUGCUGCAUGGUUGUCGUCAGCUCGUGCCGUGAGGUGUCAGGUUAAGUCCUAUAACGAGCGCAACCCCUGUUGUUAGUUGCCAGCGAGUAAUGUCGGGAACUCUAGCAAGACUGCCAGUGCAAACUGUGAGGAAGGUGGGGAUGACGUCAAAUCAUCACGGCCCUUACGUCCUGGGCUACACACGUGCUACAGUGGUAGGUACAGAGAGCAGCCAAUGCGUGAGCAUGAGCGAAUCUAUAAAACCUAUCUCAGUUCGGAUCGGAAUCUGCAACUCGACUCCGUGAAGCUGGAAUCGCUAGUAAUCGGAUAUCAGCCAUGAUGCGGUGAAUACGUUCCCGGGCCUUGUACAC
Molecule: ribosomal RNA, 1378 nt
Filed under: uncultured marine bacterium
Lineage: Bacteria
Description: bacterial SSU rRNA
Rfam family: Bacterial small subunit ribosomal RNA
Source: RNAcentral